AUGAAGAAUCGUGGCUUACUAACCAGUAUACCAUCAGCAAUUCUUGAAACCGAGAGAAACAUUGAGACCACCGAGAAUAUUCAGAUCUGCACCACAGUCUUUAACCUGACAAACAGCUCGAUUCGAAGCACCUCCAGCUACUUUGCUUUUCAUUCACACCAUCCCAGCUUGCAAUCUCCAUUUCCACCACCAGUGAAUCAUGUCAUGCAAGCUGUAUGCCUACAACAACUUGUGUACCGCAGAUGCCAAUGGGCUGCACAUAUUGGUUUGAUGGCUCAGCAUAGUAGCAACAAAUUUAUAGCCUUAUACAUCAUAUGCUCGAAGCCUUUCGCUAGAAUUUGGAGUUUCGCAUGA
This is a non-coding RNA of Vicia faba (fava bean), 354 nucleotides long. The record is from the annotation of a GenBank genome assembly. NCBI's taxonomy places the organism in Eukaryota, Viridiplantae, Streptophyta, Magnoliopsida, Fabales, Fabaceae.